This 170-nucleotide small RNA is filed under the name Cronobacter sakazakii ATCC BAA-894. RNAcentral's name for it is "RtT RNA". The stretch from base 40 to 170 matches the Rfam family "RtT RNA". From Rfam's summary of the family: This family represents a bacterial cis-regulatory element known as RtT RNA. The exact function of RtT is unknown although it is thought that it may be involved in changing the cellular response in relation to amino acid starvation. The record is from RNAcentral. Lineage: Bacteria; Pseudomonadati; Pseudomonadota; Gammaproteobacteria; Enterobacterales; Enterobacteriaceae.
AACCACUGCACCGUGGUUACCUUGUAAAGUUUACUUCAUAAGAAAACUUACAGGGGAAGGGUGAGAACCUUUGAUAAGGUUCGAGUCGAGCGAUAGCGAGACAACGUUGCCGCAGGCAACGGCCCGAAGGGUGAGGAGCGAAGCGACGAAUAAUCCUUCCCCCACCACCA